GAGUAUCAUAAACGAGUAAAUAAAAUAGUAAAGAUUAGAAAUAGACCUCAAUUGUGGAUUUCAAUAUAUCAAAGAUAGAACCACGUCCGAAAUACCUCAAUUUCAAUAACAAACAACACCAAUUUGGUAUCAAGGAAUUGCGACCCGAACAAAUUUAAAGAAAAAUAUCAAGCAAACUAAGACAAAAAUUAUGAAAAUCAAGAAGCCUGUACAUGAUUUCCGAUGAACUUUGUCGGAAUAAGAAACUGAAAUGGGCCACCUUUACUGGAUGUGAUUUAGAUCAAAACCAGAGUUGGGUUCACUAUUUCCACUUCACCGGAGCUCCAGCGAGCUCAGCAAUGGAAAAAGUUAGAGAACCGCAACUCAGAUUUGUGCGAAUAACAGUGUUUUUCGGUGGUUUCAGCCAUGGUGUUCCAAUUAUGGUUCAAUCAAAACCUAAAAAAACUGGUUGAACGAUAUUUCCUGGUGAUUAGCUCAUCAAAAAACUCGAGUUUUGCCCAUCUCUCUCAAAUUCUUUUAAUCUAUGUCCUGUCUCGCUUAAAUCUCUCAAAAUCUCUAUGAUUUUCCUCUCAUUUUUCUUGCUCAAUUUUGAGUGUGUGUGUUUUCUCGUGACUAUCAUGUUAAUGGCCUCCCCGAUGAGUAUGUGAAUUUUUCUAAUUUUGAUGUGAGGGUGUGUGUUUUUUUAUUAUGAUGUAUGUGUGAAUUUUGUAGCUGUGUGGUAUCCUAAUCCUCCAUUUUUUGUGUGUGAGAUAUGUAGAGUAUAUAUCACUGUCUGUGAAUUUUUUUUUUUGGUGAGUGAGUAUAUGUGUGCAUAUAAAUUCUGUUGAGAGAGUGUGAGGUUUGAAA
Molecule: long non-coding RNA, 846 nt
Filed under: Capsicum annuum
Lineage: Eukaryota; Viridiplantae; Streptophyta; Magnoliopsida; Solanales; Solanaceae
Description: long non-coding RNA (CANN_LNC004903)
Source: RNAcentral